GCUUGUAAGGCUCUCAUCCCAUGGUGUCUUAAGGGUGCCUCCUAGCUCCUAAUGGGGCCCAGGCACGUUAGUGACAACCACACAGAGCUGGUGGAAGGCUAGGAGGUCUCAAGGCAUCCAAUGUGGAACUUGCAGUAUUGGUUUGUCAAGAGAUGAAACUACACCAGUUCAUUUAAGAGAGAACGUUUAUUAUGAAUAAUUAUUUACUAGGUAUAAAAGAACUGAAAAGGAAAAAGGGUAUAAACACGGAGGGAGGACUUAUCACUCUUCAGUCUUGGGGGCAAGAGAAGGGAGACAAAAACUGAAAAGAGAAGGAUGAUUAAAAUUGAGAAGCUUAGAGGAAGGGGCACUGCUCAACUGGUGCUGGUGUCUCUGAGCUCGGAGGCGCUGCCCCAUGGACCCAGGACCCACAUCUCUGAGAAGGGUGUGCCGCUGGCCGGUGCUGGUGUCUCUGAGGCAGCGUGACGAGGCUGGUUCUCCAAGUGCUGGAAGCGCUGCAAACUGGAUUCAGCUGCAGCUAUUGCAGGUUCCACUUCUUCCUCCACCAUCUGCUAGGAGUGCGAAGUAGGGGUUGUCUGAAGAGAUUUGAGUCCUGGGCUGAAAGGGGCUGAGGAUCUGGGCUGAGCUGGAGAAGCCGGAGAAGGAAGAUUAGCUCUGAGCUAACAUCUGCUGCCAAUCUUCCUCUUUUUGCUGAGGAAGACUGGCCCUGAGCUCAUAUCUGUGCCCAGCUUCCUCUACUUUAUAUGUGGGAUGCCUACCACAGCAUGGCUUGCCAAGCAGUGCCAUGUCUGCACCCGGGAUCUGAACUGGUGAACCCCGGGCCACCGAAAUGGAACGUGUGCACUUAAUUACUGUGCCACCAGCCUGCCCCAUCAUUUUGUGGUUUUAAUGUGCAUUUCCCUGAUCUCUAAAGAGUUUAGGAAACUUUUAUAUGUUUGUUGGCCAUUUGGAUGCCUCCUUUGUGAAAUGCCUAUUUAAGUCUUUUGCUGCAUUUUUAAAUUGAUGUCUGUAUAAUUGAUUUGCAAAAGUUAUUUAUAUAGUCUGGAUAAGCUAUGUUUUUUCCAUUAUAUUUAAUGGCUUUUCCUCUAUCUGUAUUGUCUUUUGAAGCACAGCCGUUGAACUUUCAUGGCUUAAUUUUUAUCACAAAUUUUAUCACUUAAUUUUUAUCACUAAUGUUAAUGUAGAUCAGUUUUUUUUUUCAUUAUGCUUAGUGCUAUUUGUGUCUUGUUAAAGAAAUCUUUGCCUACCACUAAGAUUAAUUCUCCUAUGUUAUUGUUUUGAAGAUUUAUUGUUUUGCUUUUUAUAUUUAGAUGGAUAACUCACCUGGAAUUGAUUUUUAUGUAUGGCGUGAGAUAGGGGUCAAUUUUUUUUUUCCACGUGGAUAUCUAAUUUACCCAGGAAUUGUGAAGUGAUGAUAGUAACUAUCUUGGUUUUGCUGCCAGUCUCAGAGGAAAAAUUUUCAAAAAUUCACAAUUUAAAUGCAAUGUUUGCUGCAGGAUUUUUGGUAGCCAUCCUUUAUCAGAUGGAAAAAGUUCUCAUCUACUUCUUUUUGGCUAAGUUAGUUUUUUCUUUUAAAUCAUGAAUUGAUGUUUAUCAGAUGAUUUUUCCUUAUUUAUUAAACUGAUUUUUUUCAUUAUUUUUCUAUUAAAUUGGAAAAUUAUAUUGAUAGAUUUUCAAAAUGUUAAACCAACCUUCCUUUUUCAAUAAAACUACCUGGGUCUUGAUGUUGUA
This 1731-nucleotide long non-coding RNA is filed under the name Equus asinus (donkey). Its description in RNAcentral is "lncRNA (ENSEASG00005029246.1)". The record is from RNAcentral. Lineage: Eukaryota; Metazoa; Chordata; Mammalia; Perissodactyla; Equidae.